AGCCGCGGUAAUUCCAGCUCCAAUAGCGUAUAUUUAAGUUGUUGCAGUUAAAAAGCUCGUAGUUGAAUUUCGGGAUCAAUAUGCCGGUCAUGCCUUGGUAUGCACUGGUAUCUUUGAUUUCUCCCUUCUGACGAACUUUGAUGUCAUUAAUUUGGUGUCAUAGGGAAUCAGGACUGUUACUUUGAAAAUAUUAGAGUGUUUAAAGCAAGCUCACGCUUGAAUACAUUAGCAUGGAAUAAUGAAAUAGGACGUUUGAUUCUAUUUUGUUGGUUUCUAGGAUCGACGUAAUGAUUAAUAGGGAUAGUUGGGGGCAUUAGUAUUCAAUUGUCAGAGGUGAAAUUCUUGGAUUUAUUGAAGACUAACUACUGCGAAAGCAUUUGCCAAGGAUGUUUUCAUUAAUCAAGAACGAAAGUUAGGGGAUCGAAGACGAUCAGAUACCGUCGUAGUCUUAACCAUAAAUUAUGCCGACUAGGGAUCGGAUGAUGUUAAUUUUUUAAUGACUCAUUCGGCGCCUUACG
This 518-nucleotide ribosomal RNA is filed under the name uncultured Glomus. RNAcentral's name for it is "SSU rRNA". It matches the Rfam family "Eukaryotic small subunit ribosomal RNA", at positions 572 to 1092 of the family's 1831-position model. The record is from RNAcentral. Lineage: Eukaryota; Fungi; Glomeromycota; Glomeromycetes; Glomerales; Glomeraceae.